UCAACUCAGUGACAUUUUGGAAAUGGUGUAGGACUAACUGACCAAAUUAUGUUGAACAUACAGUAGGCUUUGUUAUACGACAGAAUAACAUUCAGACAGGUCAUAGAUAUUAUUAUCUAAAAUAAACAAAAACGAAUUGUUUCACAACAGUUCCGCAGAUGUCUUGUCGUCUACUCAGGAAAGACGCGUCAUGGCCAUCACACAAUUUUUUUUCAUAAUUCAGGGGGGCAGGAUCCAAACAAGGUAGAUCGAUAUUGAAGAUGGAAGGAGCAGUGACACGCACUGUGAUAACGUCUACCAGCAUCAGCGGACAACUUUUCCACCUCUAGUCUGGUUUACGACAGGCACUUUCUUCGCACUGCUUCGGGGCUCCUUGUUUUCGCAGAAAUAGACCUGAGCCCUAGGACCAUGCCUCAGGACUACCUGGCCUGAUGACUCCUUGCUGUCCCCAGUCCACCUGCUGUCCCCAGUCCACCUGCUGCUGCUCCAGUUUCAACUGUUCUGCCUGCAGCUAUGGAAUCCUGACCUGUUCACCGGACGUGCUGCCUUGUCCUGGACCUGCUGUUUUAGACUCUCUCUCUCUACUGCACCUGCUGUCUCUAACUCUGAAUGACUGGCUAUGAAAAGCCAACUGACAUUUACUCCUGAGGUGCUGACCUGUUGCACCCUCUACAACCACUGUGAUUAUUAUUUGACCCUGCUGGUCAUCUAUGAACGUUUGAACAUCUUGGCCAUGUACUGUUAUAAUCUCCACCCGGCACAGCCAGAAGAGGACUGGCCAACCCUCAGAGCCGGGUUCCUCUCUAGGUUUCUUCCUUUCUAGGGAGUUUUUCCUAGCCACCGUGCUUCUACAUCUACAUUGCUUGCUGUUUGGUGUUUUAGGCUGGGUUUCUGUACAGCACUUUGUGACAUCUGCUGAUGUAAAAAGGGCUUUAUAAAUACAUUUAAUUGAUUGAUAAAGAGAUAUAGACAGAUAUAGACGGAGAUAGAGAUAUAGAUAGGUUGGAUUCUGCAGCACCAGUACUAGACCAGACCUUGGAAUUAAUCUUUCUUUACCAGAGACAUUUGACAAUAUAUCAACAUUUGAAUGGUGAUCUAAGCACACCAUGUUUAGACUCAACUUAAACAGUUUCCUCUCUCCUGUCAUUUUCUCUCAGAAGUGUUCAGAGACCAUUAGCGUCAUUAUGAAACACUCCCAACAGAGGGGUCAACGAGCGAACACAUACCCGUUGUAUGCCAGCGUCUUUGCCAGGCUACACUCCACACUUCCUUAGCCCCUGACUGGAGGACAGUCCUCUCUCGCUCAGCUCAGAGGCCAAGGCCUUUUUAGCCACAGGGCUCUUUCAAGGCCUAAUGGGGCUGGCAGUGGCAACACAGUGGAUUCGUCCUAAAUGGCCCAUAUUCAUUUUAAAGUACAAUACUUUUGACCAGGGCCCAUAGGACACCCUAUUUCCCCAUAGGGCUCUGGUCAAAAGUAGUGCACUAUAUAGGGAAUAGGGUGCCACUUGGGAUGCACAAGUCUGUUUUGUGCUAUGCGUUUGUACUUGCUCCUUUUUCUGUUGUAGUUUGACAUAUACAUUCAUAUGGUGGAAUGUUGUGCAACGUAGAGAUUCAGAUUUUCCCCAAAAUCUACAAAGUUUCAAUACCGGGAAUAAUCCCUAUUUAUCCCGAGAGUCCUGGGAAAUACUGCAAAAAUCAGAAGUGCCCUUUUAAAACCAAGAUGGUCACUAUGCCAGGGUUCUCCCCAAAUAAGAGGGGUGCUGUGCCACCUUGUCGGCUUGGCUGCGCCACUAUGGAAAGAUUUCAGAGCAAAUGAAAUGUAAGUUUAGUCAUGAUAGUUACUCUAUCUUUGAUCGCCAGCGCAUUUCAGAAGUAGCCCCACAGAGCGCACUCCGAGUAUAGCGCUGUUUCUUUGUAACGGCAGUCAAACAAAAGUCAAAUGACCAAAGUUGCUAAACUUGCUAGAUAACCUCCUUCAACGAAUGACAGAAUAUCUCCCAUAUUUGGCUAAAUCAAGUUGAUGAUUAUAACGAUAGCAGAUCAGCUCAUGAAUAACAGGGAGAGGAAGUGGAAAUAGUUUAAAUAUCAAGGUAUCUUAACGAGGACUGUUUAAAAAAUAUCCAUAUCAACUCUCAUAUCGUUUGUUGAUCACACAUUCUCUAUGAGACAGCACAGAGACGGGGGGAAAGAGGUAUUUUGACAUGCAUAGGCGAGAGACGUGCUUUGAUAAUGCAUCCUAUGGAUUACAGAAUGAAAUGAGCUACAGGAGUGAGACAGGAGUCAGGAUUGUGGGUUUCAUGAGGAUUGGAAUUGGAUAGGGAAAUAGCCCAGGUUCUAGGAUGAGAAUACAUGCCUUGUUAACGGACUUCAUGCCUGUGACAGAGAUGCUUAUGUAGUGAAUUGUACAUAGGCCUAUCAAAUUUGUGACUGUCUGAAGAUUUACAAUGACAGCUGAAAGAGGCACAUGCUCUUUAAAAGACUACACUGUAAGGUUUUCCUGUGGGGUUUAUUAACUGUAUUCGGGUCAUGUGUGCAGGCCAGAGCGACCGGCAGUGUCAAUUAUGCGUGCGCUUUGAAUUUAUAGCGACUUUGUGUCAAAUAUGCUAGACUAAAGGCUUCAAUGUGACAACCUGUUUGGAUAAUGUCUAAUAAAUGUUUUUGUUAAUCUUU
Long non-coding RNA from Oncorhynchus nerka (sockeye salmon), 2670 nucleotides. RefSeq lists it as uncharacterized. The record is from RefSeq and is a predicted model, not a curated record. The transcript is spliced from 2 exons. Lineage: Eukaryota; Metazoa; Chordata; Actinopteri; Salmoniformes; Salmonidae.